UCGCAAGACCCAAGACAGAUGGACCUUGAGAAGCCCUGGAGAGUGAUCUGAGGCUACACUUGGGUCAGAUUCUGCUCAGUCUGUCAAUGGCUACUGCAGCUCCCACAUAAGAGUUUCCCUUCCGUCUACCAUGCCCCCAUUCUGAAAAACAAACAAGCAAGCAAACAACAGCAACACCCCCCAAAUACAAAGCCCCAAAUCCAAAAACCUCUUUACAAACACAAUAGCUAUUUUGCAAGCAAAAACUAGUUUUGCAUAAAGACUAACGCUUGGUUGCAGAAAAGAUACUUACUUUCCAGAAACUAUCUAGUGGUCUCCAAAGGUCUCAAAAGUAGUACUUUCAUUCUUGUUGAAGAGAGAAAAAAACUGAGACAGCUAUUGCAAUGACGUUUGAAAGCGGAGUCUCCUCUCAAUUACAGCUGGGCCAGGCUUGGGAGCAUUCGGACCCUGCCACGGUUUACAUUUCGAGGGACACUUUGUAGUACUUAAAUUCGAUAAAGUACGCUUUCCUGGCAGGUGCAGGCCUGGAGCAUCAGCUACAGAGAAGGCCAAGAGUGAACUAAGCAAGGAAUACGAAUUGAAAAGGACACUAGAAAUCGCACAGAGCAGCGGGCAUGGUGGCACACGCCUUUAAUCCCAGCACUCAGGAGACAGAGGCAGGUGGAUCUCUGUGAGCUCCAGGUCAGCCUGGUCUAUGCUGCAAGCUCCAGGAUCUAAGGGUCAUCAACUCCACUGGAAACCAAUAGAAACACAAAAAUCCAAUCCUUUGUCCCCAAACCAAAAACCAUUUUUGUCAGAUGGUGGUGGGUGACAGUUCCACGGAUAAGAGACGGUGUGGAUCCUGGGGGCAAUGUGUCUCUGCAUGACCAUUCUAGGUAGCUGCUUGUAGUCUUAUUGUGUCCUUUAAUGAAGUGAAGCCCCUUCACCUACAGUCAGAGAAGUCUUUUCCGUGGCAGGAACCCUGUAGGAUCUGGACAGACAAUGCCACGUGGUUGUAGGAUGGAAACGGGAGAUGAGAACAGAGAUAAUGAAAAGAAUUAAUGUCAGUCAUCUGCUGCUUGGCUCUCAACCCCAGUUUGUUUAUAUGACGGAUUAUAUUGUGUACACUCUUAGGAGGUGUGGCCUUGUUGGAGGAAGUGUGUCACCGUGGGGACAUGCUUUGAGGUCUUUUUUCUCAAGCUUCCUUCAGUGUGACUACCAGUCAACUUCCUGGUGCCUGCAAGAUGUAGGAUACUCGGCUAUUUCUCCAGCACCAUGUCUGCCUGCAUGCUGCUACGCUCCCAGCCAUGAUAAUGGGCUGAACCUCUGAACUCUAAGACACGACCACCAACUCCAUUCAAUGUUUUCCUUUAUAAGAGUGGCCAUGGUCAUGGUGUUUCUCCACAGCAAUAAAAACCCAAAUUAAGACAGGGCCCCUUUACUCACCCCGUCCCUGUCAGAACCUUAGUAAGUGGAUGUGUUUUUUCUCUGUCAGCUUCUGAUGUGUGGGUAUCUAUUUCUUCUGUAUGUAUAUGCAUAUGGCUCAUUCAAAAAAACACCUAUGUUUUAAAUUUGCUCUUUAUUUUCUGUGACCACUGAGUUCAGAUUGUAGAGGAGGAUAUCAAUGCACUAGUUUACCAUGCUAUUGUGGUCCUCAGACUCUACCUUUGGGGGUGACAAUAGCAACAGAUUCAGGAUGCUGCCUCUGAGACAUUACCCAUUAUUACUGUGUCUGCUAGGCCAAUUUUUCCUGUUUUCAAUAUGACAUGUUGUUCUCCUAAAAUGGCUCCAUGCCCAACAAAGCCCACUCAAUAUCGAUUAAUCCUCUCCUAAAUGACUUUAUUAAGGACCAUUAAUGAUUCACUUAGUAAGUGCUUUUGUAAUAAGUUCAUAAUGUCCUCUGAAGCAAUGGAUCCCGACAGGAGCCAGGCCCAUCUAGGAGGGAACAUGCUUAAAAUAAGUGAAGAGUUUUCAAAAGGUGGCUGGGGGAAUAGAUUACGUUUCUAUCUUGCAACAAGUUACAUCGAAAUUCUUUGUAGACAAUGAAAUAAAUUGCAGGGACUUCCUAUAGGUUAAGACUGUCAGUGAAGCCUUCAAAGAAUUUGUUUGUUUGGGCUCUGGGAGAGUUGCCAUGACAGGGUGCUGAGUCACAGCAGUGUGGGAAACAGGUAGGAUGGUGGAAAUUUGGAAUGUGGUUCUGCAGUAUGCAAAUCAAUACAGUCUAAAGACAAAUGGAUUAGGCAGAGUGUGUUGGACAGGUCCAGAGGCACUUCCAUUUCCACCAUGAAAAGUGUGCCUAUCAGUCAACUUCCUGGUGCCUACAAGAUAUAGGAUACUCGGCUAUUUCUCCAACACCAUGUCUACCUGCAUGCUGCUACGCUUCCAGCCAUGAUAAUGGACUGAACCUCUGAACUCUAAGCCACCACCACCAACUCAAUUCAAUGUUUUCCUUUAUAAGAGUGCCCAUGGUCAUGGUGUUUCUCCACAGCAAUAAAAACUUUACUCACCCAGCAGUCCCCAUGUCAUCUUCAGCUGGUGACUGUUCCAGAGCGACCUCUCUGGAGCCCUUAUAUGUUUUCU
Molecule: long non-coding RNA, 2559 nt
Organism: Alexandromys fortis (reed vole)
Lineage: Eukaryota; Metazoa; Chordata; Mammalia; Rodentia; Cricetidae
Exons: 3
Source: RefSeq, a predicted model, not a curated record